This is a long non-coding RNA of Gadus chalcogrammus (walleye pollock), 4885 nucleotides long. RefSeq lists it as uncharacterized. NCBI's taxonomy places the organism in Eukaryota, Metazoa, Chordata, Actinopteri, Gadiformes, Gadidae. The record is from RefSeq and is a predicted model, not a curated record. The transcript is spliced from 8 exons.
UUUCAUUCCUAGGUCUGUUGUGACUUAUUUGACAUCUCUUCCUGUUUCACAGGUUAAAGAUUUUUUGAAGUAAAGAAGCGCAUCUCAUCUGAACCUGAUGUCUAUCAUGGAUUUUUAACUGCAGUUCUGUGAGUAUCCCAACUUAACCAUGAAGAUGAACUGCAAACUGUAAGUCAUUCAUUUCUAAUUACUGUUGGGCACAUUGAUGUAUUUUGGCUUCUUGGUGAGUUAACCCGUUACCUGAAGGUUGAUCUGAGUAGUAAGGAUGUUUUAUUGGUUCAUGGGUUACUUAGGUGUUUGGUUUAUGUUGGUUUUAAUGAUUUGUUAAAAUGGUUACAGGCUCCAAGGUAUUGUUGUAAGCUGAAGUAAUGGGUUGGGUUCUGAUAUCUUCAGUCUUUUUUCCAGCUACUCUCCUGAGCUCUGCCUCUUCAUCACAUGAGCGUUGCUUUACUAAUGAGGUUGUGGUCUGAGUGUACAGAGGUGCAUACUGGGAUACAGAGCUGUCUGAAGUCUACAGGUCUGUAGACACGCCCCCUCAGGGGAAACCGAGUGUUUGAGAAACCGUCGUGACGUCAGUUACAUGGACUAGAAUGUUCUUUAAGAUGGAGACAGGGAAUCAGAAGGAGAAAUGCCAGGGGGAGAUGAGGGGGCUCUUCAUCUCAACCACUAAAACACAACUUCAGUCUGACACAGAGAACCAUGGAACACAUUCAACAAUCCCCUCCAGGCAUCGUGACUCCUCCAGGAACAGUUUAAUUUCCAAGAAGGUCUUAUUUGGGGCCAUCCCCAGAUGGAUCCUGCUCCUCAAGAGCCACCCCCCCUCCACUGGGUGGUCUUCUGAACAGAUCACCUCCUUCCUGUCCUCAGGCUCACUAAAGCUGCACCGUUUGCAUCUGUGAAGGCCCCUCAAUCAGGAAACCACUGGACUACAAAGACAUGACUUCAGAGACGUUGAAUCAACCUGGGACACAUGUUGGAGACGCCAAGCAUAAUCCAUCACCAAUGUGGGACGCCACUGAAGAAUGUUGUACAUAAUCCACGUCUCUGGAGACAUUGGUUGUUCUGUUCUGGGUGCCCUGGCAGGAGAGCUGGGGGUGGAUGAUGGAAUGUUAUUGGGCAUGAGGUUUUUACCCUGCAUGAUUGUUUGGCCUUUUAUGGCUCAGUGGUGUGUGUUCCAUUGGUUUGACAUGAGAUGGAUGAUUUUUUAAACAUCGCUAGUGUUCUACUGUGUGUGUGUGUGUGUGUGUGUGUGUGUGUGUGUCUCCCCCAUCACACCUGGCAUGGGGUUCUACGUGCGUGUCCUGGGUUCUGUGUGUCCGGCUUGCUUUGACAGUGAUAAUGUUCAUACGGGGUCUGUGUGAUUGGCUUGGGAUAUUGGAAUGGUCAAAUAAAUCAUACCUGAUGGUCGGCCGGCCACACGUUUACUUAAGGGUCUCCAGAGCGACGCUCCGGAGCGAUAUCAACACACUGGGCAGGAAGGAGAGUAUCCAACUCAAGUGUAAAAGGAUGCAAGCGGUGUGUUCAGAUCAGUGACUUCAAACUAGGACUACACCAAUCAGGAUCAAUGGAGGAUGGACACCUAAAGGCAUUCCACAAGGACUCUGAAGUUGGAAAGGGACCUCAAUGGCUGUUCAAGAUGACCUGUAAUGAGACGGCUCUUCCUACCUGGCUGGAUUGAUGGAGAGCCCUGUGGAUCUUGUCUUGCUCUCAGUUGCACGUCUGCUCAGGCUGAACUGUAUUUGUUUCGGACAGGACUAGCUGAACGAUUGUUUCCCUCAAAUCAGAACCAAUCUGGGAACUCAACAACUAGUGCGCUCUUCGAGCUGAAGUUGUGCUCUUCAGCUGAGGAGGUAAGGAAACCUUCACUGGGGCUUCAAGGUGUAAAGAGGAGAAUGUUUCAAAGUGUUCCAUGGUACUCUGAUGAGGACCGUUGUGUUCCACUGGCUGAGAGGAAGAACCCUCACAUCUUCCUCUUGGCCUUUCUCCUCUGAGAAUCCUGGCGCCAUCUUGAAGGAUAUUCCAGCUCAUGCAACUGAUGUCACGACAGAUUCUCAAACACUUGGUUUCUCCUGAGGGGCGUGUCUAUGGAACUGAAGACUUGAGACGGCACUGUAUCCCAGCAUGCAUCUCUGCUCACUCAGACCACACCCCCAUGAGUAGGAUGCAACAUUCUAGUGAUGGAGAUGUAGAGUUUUAUAAGUAAUGAGGGAGCAGACAAAGGUGAUUAGAGGCAUGUCAAGUCUGUAAAUCUUUAAAUCAUGAAGAUGGUUGGAUAGUUCAGGAAUUGGGCUUCUAUUUAUUAUGAGCAGUCCUUUCGCUCAGAUGGCCACCUCUCACUGGACCUGUACAUGUGUUGGCUGGCAUGAUUUGCUGUUGGUGAUGAGGCGGUCAAGGUGACGUUGCAGGGCUAUGGUUGGCUCUCUGUGAGCUCAACGUUUAGAUUUGCUCUGUAUGGUUUGUACCCUGAAUAAUCUAGAUAAUUGUAAAAUGUAGACAAGGUUUUGUAUUGAAUGAUUCCAUUGUUCUUAGGCAAGGAUUUGAGGUUUAAAGUUGUUGUGGGACGUACAUGGUAGUUAGCUUUGUACAGUUUUGAGUGAUAUAACAUGUACACACUGGGUGCAUAAUAAUGUAAUGUUACACUGAAUAGUAGUACCAACAGCAACAAACAGAUCUCCUCAAGGUAAGUCUGUUGGCUGUGUUUUAAUGAAGACCAUCGCUGGACUUCAGGAUCUUCCUCCGUUCAGCUCAAGGUGAGGCGCUGGUUCUGUUUUUUCUUUGGUUGGUUCCGGCAGGAAUGUUCGGAUUCCUGUCGGACGGUUUGUGCUUCCCGCCGGGAAGUUUCUGAGUGCGGUCACUUGAUUUAGUCCCAAUGGUUAGCAUCGAACGUUGUAGUCUUGACAAUCAUUAGAAACCACCUGGCAGUUAGUUGGACGGGAGUCCCCUGAGGGAAUCUGGCGGAACGUUCUGGAUUUUAUUUGCGUAACCUCGAGCCGUUGCCAACGGAAAAAAAAAUUCAGUCGGUUUCCAUUGGGAAUUGUUGCGCCUUAUCUUAAACAACUUAACUUUGGUAUUAAAUACAUACUGACACGUACAUUGUACAAUAUGUUUUAUUUUCGUUGGUUGCGCCGUAAUUUCAACCACGUUGACGGGACUCUCGCUGCGUACGAAACUGCCUUCUACUUGCGGGCCCAUUUUUUACAUCAGUGAAGGCUGAAAAUCAUUUGAAGGCGGAAGAUUAUUUGACAUUUCUUCAACGGAACCCAGCACCUGAAUAUGGCUGAGUAAAUUUGAUUUCAUAUCGAUACUGCUUAGUGUUCUUUGUUACUUCAGCUUUUGUACGUUCUAAAUAUCAUUGUCAUUAAUUGCAACAGAAGUUAAACCCUACCCAAUGGAAUGACGCUAAACAACGACUUUGGUGCAGAGUUACCAACUGGUUAGGGUUAUCAAAGGGUUAUCAAAGCUAAAAUUAUGGCCGUGCUUUCCCCAGUAGAAGAUACUCUAGAAUUGUACAAGGUUAAAAAGGUAACAUGUAGUUUGUCCCAAGGUGUCUGCCUCCUCUCCCGGAGCCAGACCUCCGCCUCCUCACCCAGAGCCAGACCUCCACCUCUUCACCCGGAGCCAGACCUUCACCCGGAGCCAGACCUUCACCCGGAGCCAGACCUCCACCUCCUCACCCGGAGCCGGACCUCCACCUCCUCGCCCGGAGCCGGACCUCAACCUCUUCACCCGGAGCCAGACCUUCACCCGGAGCCAGACCUUCACCCGGAGCCAGACCUCCACCUCCUCACCCGGAGCCGGACCUCCACCUCCUCGCCCGGAGCCGGACCUCCACCUCCUCGCCCGGAGCCGGAGCCAGACCUCCACCUCCUGUCAGAAGUCCUCCAGACUGCAGCACUGGACCAGAGGACCAAGAAUCCAUGUCUGGAAGAGCCGUGCUGAAGGCCCUGCCUGGUGGAGGAGCUGGUGGAGGCCCUGCCAGACCAGGACUCUGUCUGAGCAGAGCUGCUGGAGGAGCUGAGACGCUGGAGGACGACUAGGAAUCGACCAACAAGGAUUCCUCAACGUGUGUCUGAACCGGAGGCGAGCUGGUAGGGGAGCCGUGAAUCUGGAGGAUGACCAUCACUCUACCAACAAGGAUUACGUUGGGGCCAGACUCGUGCUGUUUGUUCCAGACCAGGACUCUGGCUGAGGAGAGCUGAUGGAGGAGCCAAGACUCUGGAGGACGACAUCACUCCACCGACCAGGAUCCUCGAAUCUGGAGGACUGAUGGAGAAGCCGUACAUCUGGAAGGCAAAUCCUGAGGACAACCAGGACUCUACCAUAAAGGAUUCCUCGCAGACACACCUGAGCUGAACCUCAACUGUUUGGUCGGGGGCAGACACACCUGAGCUGAACCUGACAUCCUGCUGGUCCCGUCUCCUCAGUUCAUCUGCGCCUCGUCCUCCAGAAGACCUGCUGAGCUCAGCAGUCUGAGGCUGAUGGAUCAAUGACCUCCAGUGGGAGUGAUCUUCUUGACCCCACAUGUAACCGUGUGCUUCCACACGCCUUUCCUUCACGUCUGUCACUAACCUCACUACUUCACUACUCUCUACUGCUUCCUCUUUUCUUCCUUCUCUGUGGUUCGAACCUUUACACUGAAGGCGCGCCUUCCUUCCCUCAGAGGGUUCAGCGUUAGGGUUGAGAGUCAGGGUUUAGAGUCAGGGACAGAGCUGGUCAGGGAGGACUGCUUUUACACAAACCUCUGCACUUGCUUUCGGAAUGGUGAUGACAUUUUGAAAAGAUUCUUUUGGGUAAAUGAUUCCUAUUCCAUUUACAAAAUUGUAUUCAACUUCUGUCAAGUGCUUUCGUUUGCAUAUUAAAAUCACACAUUGACUUCUAUAUAUUU